CUUAUAUUAUAAUAAAGUAAGUAGGAAGGAGCGAAAGCUACUCAACCAAACGGGAGAGGCGACCAAAGGAAGCUGGUUCACCUUCUCUCCUCCGUUACAACAUAGGUCGUUCCAAUCCCGAAUGAAAAUAUUCCUGAACUGAAGUCAAGGAGGAAAGUUCCAUCGUGUCCUUCAAAGAUCGAUCUGAUAAUUGUGUGUAUAAGGUUUUACUUAACUAGCCCUAAAGGUAACUUAAAAUCCUCAAGCUCUUCU
RNAcentral lists this long non-coding RNA (252 nucleotides) under Nicotiana benthamiana. RNAcentral's name for it is "long non-coding RNA (NBEN_LNC018837)". The record is from RNAcentral. Lineage: Eukaryota; Viridiplantae; Streptophyta; Magnoliopsida; Solanales; Solanaceae.